CUCGGGCGAGGGAUUGGCCGGGUCUGGGUGAAGGGGAUCACGGCCUGGGGAUUGGAGGGGCACAUCUUCUCCGCACCGAGGAUCUCAGCGACUGCGAGCACGGCUCGGAGACCCACGGUGGUGCAGCGUUGGGGCGCCAGGGCUGCGUUCCCGUCUCGCGUCCCGGACUGAGAAGAAAUACUUUCAGAGCUCUUUCAUUCAUCCUGACAAUGGCCAGAGAAGGUAGGUAUUGGUAGCCUUAUUUUAGAGAUGGGGAAACUGAGGCUGAGAGUAGGUAAGUAAGCUGUCCAAGGGCACUCAGCUAACAAAGGACAGAAGCAAGCCUCCUCACUGUCUACCUCCAAAACCUACACUGGCUUGGAGUUGCUGUCCUGGCCCUCCACUGCCCAUCUCAUGUAGGACGGGAGAGUAUGGGGGGCUGGGGUCCCAUCUAUAGCCUGAAUUUGAGACUUUCAGUUGCUCCUCUCAUUCCCCAUUUAAUUUGUGGGGAUCCCCAACUGACCCCUCCCUACACUUCCAGGGCACUGAGGAGGGAGGGCCCGCUGAAGGAGCCCCGAAUUAUCUCUAGGCCAGGUCAGGAGCCAUUAGUGUCCCCUCCCCUGACAGCAUCCUCCUCCUUCUGCCCUCACAUUCAGAGCCACUGACAAGACUUUAAGCAAGAGACGGAGAGUUAACAUCUAAUCUGGAGGAAGACCCUGGAAGGAGCCAGCCCCUUCCCCCAGGCUGACCUGGUUUAAGCCUUUCUUCUGCCAAGGUCACCAGCACCCCAGAUGGGUGAGAGAUGUGAUCACUGGUUUCGUGGCCUGACCAAGGACCUCCAAGGAGGUAUCUUUCCCAUCUUGGCCCACAGAGGAGGAAAUCCUAGAAGGGAUGACUGAAGCUUGGGACUAACACAUUGGUGGAUCUGUGCUACCCCCUGCUGGCCGUAGACGGUAUGACAGCCAAGAUAGGGCAAGGCUUCGAGGGGCGAUGGAUGGAUUCACCGCAGCGGCGACAUUUCUGGACUGUUGUCACCUUCAGUGCAGUCACUGGGAAUAUUCAGAACCCAGGUGAUUGAUAAGGUUUUCCCAGGGAUCUCUUCUCUCCCCUUCACCAUUACUCAGUAGGAGCUUCCUUAAAAACGGAAAACGAGAGGCCGGGCGCGGUGGCUCACGCCUGUAAUCCCAGCACUUUGGGAGGCGGAGGCGGGCGGAUCACGAGGUCAGGAGAUCGAGACCAUCCUGGCUAACACAACCCCGUCUCUACUUAAAAUACAAAAAAUUAGCCGGGCGUGGUGGCACGCGCCUGUAGUUCCAGCUACUCAGGAGGCUGAGGCAGGAGAAUCGCUUGAACCCGGGAGGCAGAGGAGGUUGCAGUGAGCUGAGAUGGCGCCACUGCACUCCAGCCUGGCCGACUGAGACUCCAUCUCAAAAAAAAAAAAAAAAAAAGGAAAAAGGGGCCGGGCGCGGUGGCUCACGUCUAUAAUCCUAGCACUUUGGGAGACCAAGGCGGGCAGAUCACGAGGUCAGGAAUUUGAGACUAGUGUGGCCAACAUGGUGAAACCCCAUCUCUACUAAAAAUACAAAAAAUUAGCCGGGUGUGGUGGCGCAUGCCUGUAAUCCUAGCUACUCGGGAGGCCGAGGCAGGAGAAUCGCUUGAACCCAGGAGGCCGAGGUUGCAGUGAGCCGAGAUCACGCCAUUGCACUCCAGCCUGGGCGACAGAGCAAGACUCCGUCUUGAGGGAAAAAAAAAAAAAAAAGAAAAAGGGGCCAGGCACCUGUAAUCCCAGCACUUUGGGAGGCUGAGGAGGGAAGAUCGCUAAAACCCAGGAGUUCAAGACCAGCCUGGGCAACAUGGUGAGACCCCAUCUCUACAAAAAAUGCAAAAAAAAAAAAAACAAAAACAAAAAAAAAAACAGCUGGGCAUGAUGGUGCGCACCUGUAGUCCCAGCUACUCGGGAGGCUGAGGUGGGAGGAUUAUUUGAGCCUGAGAGGUCAAGGCUGCAGUGAGCCAAGAUCGCAUCACUGCACUCUAGCCUGGGUAACAGAGCAAGACCCUGCCUCAAAAAAAAAAAAAAAAAAGGAAAAAGGUUAUUACACAGUUCAAAAGAGAAACAAAGUGCAAAAGCAUGUGCAAAGAAAGUAAAGUCCCUCCUGGCCAAGUGCGAUGGCUCAAGCCUGUAAUCUCAACACCCUGGGAGGCUGAAGUGGGUAGAUCAUUUGAGGUCUGGAGUUUGAGACCAGCCUGGCCAACAUGGUGAAACCCCGUCUCUACUAAAAAUAUAAAAAUUAGCUUGGCGUAGUGGCGGGUGCCUGUAAUCCCAGGUACUCGGGAGGCUGAGGCAGGAGAAUCACUUGAACUUGGGAGGCGGAGGGUGCCGCGAGCCAAGAUCACGCCAGUGCACUCUAGCCUGGGCAACAGAGCAAGACUCCAUCUCGAAGGAAGGAAGGAAGGAAGGAAGGAAGGAAGGAAGGAAGGAAGGAAGGAAGGAAGGAAGGGGAAAGAAAGGAAAGAUCUCUUGCCAAUCAGCCUCCCUGUUGCCCUGUUUCCCAUUCCCUCCCCAGAGGCAACCACUCUUAACAGUUUUUUUGUUUUUGUUUUUGUUUUUUUUUAGACAGAGUCUCACUCUGUUGCCCAGGCGGCUGGAGUGCAGUGGUGUGAUCUCAGCUCACUGCGACCUCCGCUUCCCAGAUUCAAGCAAUUCUCCUGCCUCAGCCUCCUGAGUAGCUGGGACUACAGAGCUAUUUGGAGCAUAUGCUGUGUAUAUGUGCGUGUGUGUGUGACACAAAUGAUAGCACACGCUCUACACUGUUCAGCACCUGCUAUUUUCAUGUCAUAAUAUACCUGCCUGUAGAUAGUCAACAUAGUUUUCCAUCGUAUGGUGUGUCACAAUUUAUUUACCAUUCCCCUCCUAGUGGAUAUUUAUGUAUGUCCGCCUUUUAUUACUACAAACAAUGCUAAUUACAGGAAAUAUCUUGGUACAUAUAUUUGCAGACAUAUGUGUGUGUGUGAAAUAAAUUUAUAAGUAUGGCAAUUCUGGGUCAAAGAUUAUGUGCUCUUAAAUGUUUUAUAGGUUUUCACAGAAUUGCCCUCCAAAAAUUUUGUACCAAUUUACAAUCCCCAACAACGGAUGAGAUCACCUGUUUCCCCAAAUCCUCACAAACAGGUUAAUAUCAGGCCUUUUGAUCUUAGGUGAUGACUCUUUAAAAGUCCUGCUCACAGAGCAGUUGAUGAUCUGUCUUUUUCUUUGGGCCGCGGGUUUCUCCAAGGAAGGGACUGUGUCUUUCUCAUACCUACAUCCCCAGUGAAGGACUUGACACCAUCCUUGGGAGUUACUCAAGAAGUGUCUGCUAAAUAUUGAGUGAAAGAAACAGAGCUGCAUUUUGGCAGGCUGGGAGGGAGAGGGUAAAAGGUUAGGUUUGAACAGGAGGCCUGCUUUUUUUUUUUUUUUUUGAGAUGGAGUCUCACUCUGUUGCCCAGGCUGGAGUGCAGUGGCGCGAUCUCAGCUCACUGCAACCUCCAAGGAGGACUGCUCUUUAGGGCCACUUUCUCUUCCAGACCCUGGUCAAGCCUCUGCCCCAAAUCCAAAAGCCUUCCUCUUGCAGGAGCCUCCCAGGUUGCAAGGUCUGAGGUUGAAGGCCCAGAACUCCCAGUGCAGCUUUCACCCAGCUCUGCUGCAUUCCAGGGAUGGGCCCCAUCAUCCCCAAGCUGCCUGAGAACUGGAAACAAACUAGGUGUCCAGCUUUAGGGGAUCAGUUAAACCACUGUCCUAUAGAACUUUCUGCAAUGAUGAAAAUGUUCUCUAUCUGCCCUGUCCAAUAUGGCAGCCACUGGCCACUCGUAGCUACCGAGUAUUCAAGCUGUAGCUAGUUCAACUAAGGAAAUAAAUAAAUGUUACUUAAUUUUAAUUAAUUUCCAUUUAAGUAGCCAUGUGUGGCUACAUAUUGGACAGUGAAGGGUUCAGUAAAUUAUGAUAUAGCCCCACAAUGGAAAACUAUGCAGCUGUAAAAAAAAAAAAUAAUAAGGAUGCCAAGAAAAAUGGAAAGAUCUUCAGGAUAUAUUUUGAAACAAAAAUGUGGUACAGGCUGUGUGCAGUGGCUCACGCCAAUAAUCCCAGCACUUUGGGAGGCCAAGGUGAGAGGCCGAGGCAGGAGGAUCACUUGAGUCCAGGGGUUCAAGACCAGCCUGGUCAACAUAAUGAGACUUCCGUCUCUACAGAAAGUGAAAAAAAAAAAAAAGACAGCAUGGUGGUAUAUGAAUGUAGUCCCAUCUACUCAGGAAGCUGAGGUGGGAGGAUUGCUUGAGCCAGGGAAGUUGAGGCUGCAGUAAGCUGUGAUUGUGCCACCACACUCCAGCCUGUGUGACAGAGCAAGACCCCAUCUAAAAAAAAAAAAAAAGGCCAGGCACGAUGGCUCACACAUGUAAUCCCAGCACUUUGGGAGGCCGAGGACCGUGGAUCACCUGAGGUUGGGAGCUCAAGACCAGCCUGACCAACAUAGAGAAACCUCAUCUCUACUAAAAACACAAAAUUAGCUGGGUGUGGUGGCACAUGCCUAUAAUCCCAGCUACUCAGAAGACUGAGGCAGAAGAACCACUUGAACCCAGGAGGCGGAGGUUGCGGUGAGCCAAGAUAGUGCCAUUGCACUUCAGCCUGGGUAACAAGAGCGAAACUCUGUCUCAAAAAAAAAAAUGUGGUUCAGAACAGUAUACAUAGUAUGUCAUCUUUUUUGAAAGAAAGGCAGGUAGGCCGGGCGCAGUGGCUCACACCUGUAAUCCCAGCACUUUGGGAGGCCGAGGUGGGCGGAUCACGAGGUCAGGAGAUUGAGACCAUCCUGGCUAACGCGGUGAAACCCUGUCUCUACUAAAAAUACAAAAAAUUAGCCGGGCGUAGGUGGUGCACUCCUGUAGUCCCAGCUACUCGGGAGGCUGAGGCAGGAGAAUGGCGUAAAACCCGGGAGGCUGAGCUUGCAGUGAGCCAAGAUCGCGCCACUGUACUUCAGCCUGGGAGACAGAGCGAGAUUCCGUCUCAAAAAAUAAAAAAAAAAGAAAAAGAAAGGCAGGUAGAGGAGGCUGGAUGUGGUGGCUCAUGCCUGUAAUACCAGCACUUUGGGAGGCCAAGGGGGACAGAUCACUUGCAGAAAUGUGAGACCGGCCUGGACAACAUGGUGAAACCCCAUCUCUACACAAAAUACAAAAAUUAGUUGGACGUGGUAGUGCGCACCUGUAGUCCCAGCUACUCAGGAGGCUAAAGUGGGAGGGUUGCUUGAGCUGGGGAAGUCAAGGCUGCAGUGAGCCAAGAUUGCACCACUGCACUCCAGCAGGGGUGACAGAGGGAGACAGCAGGAGUGACAGAGUGAGACCCUGUCUCAAAAAAAAAAAGAAAAGAGCUUUGCACAGUGGUAGUAUCGUAGCCAAUGAAUGAAAGGGAGGUGGAAAUAAAAAUAAAUGUUUAUAUUUGCUUGAAUUUGCAUAGGGAAAGCAAUAACAGUGGGUGACCUAUAGGGAGCUGGGGAAUCCUGUUGCGGGGGUAGGCAAGGACAGGGUGGGAACAGAGCUUUCCAGUGAAUUUCUUUAUAUUUCAUUUUGGUUGUUGAAACAUGUACAUAUAUUACCUAUUCAAAAAGUUAAAUUAAGGUCAGGUGCAGUGGCUCAUGCCCGUAAUCCCAGUACUUUGGGAGGUUGAGGUAGGAGGAUCACUUUACCCCAGGAGUUGGAGACCAGCCUGGGCAAUAUAGUGAGACCUCCUUUCUACAAAAAGUUUACAAAUUAGCCAUAAGCCAGGUGUGAGCCACUGCACCCAACCCAACGCUAUCCUUUCUAUGUAACUCACUAGAGGACAGCCCCAGGGAGUGGACCAGCAAAGACCGCAUGAGCCAUACCCCAGUGACACAGGCUCCCAAACCCGGCCAUGUAUCACAAUCAGAAUCUGGGGGGAGUACGGUCAGGGAUCUGUGUCUUUUAAAGUCCUCCAGGUAAUUCAGUCAGUUACUGACCUGUCCUUGUCAAUGCUUCCCAGUGAAGAGAGUACAGGCUACAUGUCCCAGGUACAUAUCCCUUCCCUUUAG
RNAcentral lists this long non-coding RNA (6044 nucleotides) under Homo sapiens (human). RNAcentral describes it as "HSALNT0241335". Lineage: Eukaryota; Metazoa; Chordata; Mammalia; Primates; Hominidae. The record is from RNAcentral.